This 253-nucleotide ribosomal RNA is filed under the name uncultured bacterium. Its description in RNAcentral is "partial 16S ribosomal RNA". It matches the Rfam family "Bacterial small subunit ribosomal RNA", at positions 524 to 776 of the family's 1533-position model. The record is from RNAcentral.
UACGUAGGGGGCGAGCGUUGUCCGGAUUUAUUGGGCGUAAAGCGCUCGCAGGCGGUCGGCCGCGUCGCGCGUGAAGGCCCCCGGCUCAACCGGGGGUGGUCGCGGGAAACGGGUCGACUGGAGGUAGGUAGGGGGACGCGGAAUUCCCGGUGUAGUGGUGGAAUGCGUAGAGAUCGGGAGGAACACCGGCGGCGAAGGCGGCGUCCUGGACCUGGCCUGACGCUCAGGAGCGAAAGCGUGGGGAGCGAUCCGG